CUGUAUCUUUAAACUCAGUCGACCAGAAUCAAUUUGACCUGUGGGUGGUGUUCGCUUUCCUUUGCUCCAUAGUCCGCAAUCAAAGUUUAAUACAGAGAGUCAAGGAUCAAAUCAAAUCACAUUUUUAUUCUCACACGAAAUACCAUUUUCUUAAAACAAUUUUCAUCAUUAUGGGGACCUUCUAAAUUAAAUUCACGGAGUGGCUGCCGAAUUCACCCAUGUCGGAGAACUGCAAUUUAUCUUGGUACACAUGAACUUCACUCAAUAAAUAAGAGUAUGGCGAGUACCCCACAAGAGCAGAACAGAGUCAUCCAAACAAUUAUUUCAGAAACAGAACAUGUCCAUGUAGUUUUCAAUACUAUAAUAACAGUGAUUUAGUCUGUUUUUUCAGUUAUUUGUGGUUAUAAAACCUAAAUCAAGCUAAUUAUAUUCCAAGUAUAUAAAGUGUAUUUAUAUAGUGUACGACCCGGGGAACAGUUAAAGGGGAGGGGGGAUGAAUGAGCCAUUUGGAAGCUGGGGAUGAUUAGGUGGCCAUGAUGGACAAAUUGGGAAUUUAGCCAGGACACCGGGGUUAACACCCCUACUCUUACAAUAAGUGCCAUGGGAUCCUCAGUGACCACAGAGAGUCAGGACACCUGUUUAACAUCCCAUCCGAAAAGACAGCACCCUACACAGGGCAAUGCACUGCCAUGGGAUAUUUCUUUUUAGACAAGAGGAAAGAGUGCCUCCUACUGGCCCUCCAACACUACUUCCAGCAGCAUCUGGUCUCCCAUCCAGGACCAACCCUGCGUAGCUUCAGAGGAAAUACAGCAUAGGAUACAGGGUGGUAUGCUUCUGGCUGUUAGAGGUCAGAGAGCAUGGCUCUGGCAGACCUCCUCACCUUGCUGCUCAUCCCCUUCACCCUGUAGUCACGUAGGUUGCUGGUUCGAAUCCCAGGUCUGACUGGAAAAUUGUGGUGGGCCAGCAACCUGAGGGUUGCCAGUUUGAAUCGAGGAAAAGAAACACACAUAAAAAACUGUUGAGAUGGGUAUGUGAGCCAGUUACUAUACUGGAGGGUUGUAAUGGGGAUGUGAGCCAGUUACUAUACUGCAGGGUUGGGAUGUGGGCCAGUUACUAUACUGGGUUACUAUGAUGGGGAUGUGGGCCAGUUACUAUACUGGAGGGUUGUUAUGGGGAUGUGGGCCAGUUACUAUACUAGAGGGUUGUAAUGGGGAUGUGGGCCAGUUACUAUACUGGAGGGUUGAUGGAUUCAAAAUAUUAAAAGCUGAGGACUUCCAUUCCUCUGUGACAAUGAAUUAACAAUACUUUGGCUACGCGUGGCCGCUGGGGGACACCUCCUGCAAGGUGUAGCAGUUCUCCCUGGCAGCCAGCCCCUAAAGCCUGUGAGCUGUGUCCAUGACGCCAGGCCAUGAUCAACAUCAAACCCUACUACCAUGGACCUGGUGAUCCUGAUCUGGGCAUCAGACAUCUGUAUCAGUCUGCCUCUCAGGAUCUUUGGCACUAAGGAUAGCUUUGGGGCCUGGCCUGGCUGAUGUUACUAUCUAUCUGUCCAACAUGCAAGAGAACCACUACCAACAAUGGCUUGGUUUGAUACUGUACCCUAUUUGUUAUAUGGUAACCAACUUUUUACCUGGUCCACUUCAUUUUUUAUUUAACCUUUACUUAACUAGGCAAAUCAGUUAAAAAUCAAAUUCUUAUUUAGAAUGACAGCCUAGGAACAGUGGGUUAACUGCCUUGUUCAGCGGCAGAACAACAGAUUUUUACCUUGUCAGCUCGGGGAUUCGAUCUAGCAACCUUUCGGUUGCUGGCCCAGCGCGGUAACCACUAGGAAUAGAGUGCAAUUUCAGAUAAACAUAAUGUGUGACAAGAAGCCUUAUGUUUAAUUCAAAGAAUGUCACUGGAAGUAACCAGGUCUGUUUUAAAAAAUAAAAAAUAAUUGUACUGUUAUUUAAUUUUCUAGAAACAAAAUGGUGUCAAAAUGUUAAUAUGAGAGCACACAAACAUUCAAAUCCAACAGGCGGUCCUGAGCCAGUACAUUCUCUACUUCUUUGUCCCCAUGCUGUUGAUCGCUUUCAACUACACCCGCCUGGCCUGCUUCCUCCACAAGAGCCCUGUCAUAUCUGUAGUGCCCGACAGCACGCGGCGAGCCUCCCUCAUGGUCUUCCUGGCAGCCGGAGCCUUCUCUUGUCUGCUGGCUGCCCGGGUAUGAUGAUGAUGAUGAUGAUGAUGAUAAUGACUUAAUUUCUCCAUUAGGAAAUUAUUUUUGCAUCCUUUUUUUAAAUGGCAUCUUAUUCCCAAUAUAGUGCACUAGAUUUGACCAGGGCCCAUUAGGGCCCUAAAGAGUGAAUAACUAUUCUGAUGACUCUUCUUUAUUAGGUACAUCUUGGAGCUGUGUGUGUACGUCUCCAUCGCCACGGCCAGUCCUGGGAGAUUUCUACUUCACCUGCAGCGUGCUUCGGUACCUCCACCCCUGUGUUAACACUGCGCUGCACGUGCUGCUGUCUGAAAGGAACCGCCACUGCAGCCGCAGGUUGUCAGCGUCACCACAGAGACCAUGUAGACCUCACACACUGGCCACCAGGGGGAGCUGGCUUUGCUUUGGCAUGGGGCUAAUCUCUAGUCUGGGUACCAGUCUGUUUAGCUAUCAUUACACUCCUUACCACAACUGUCACGCUAAACGCGUUGGCAUAUGACACUGAGUACAAGCAGUGGAAUGUUCUUUAAACGGACUGGUACCCAGGAUAAACCAAGCAGUGGAAUGUUCUCUAAACAGACUGGUACCCAGGAUAAACCAAGCAGUGGAAUGUUCUCUAAACAGACUGGUACCCAGGACAAACCAAGCAGUGGAAUGCUUCUGAUGCUUCUGGAAGAGGUGUUGGAGGGCCAGUAGGAGACACUCUUUCCUCAGGUCUAAAAAAUAUCCCAAUACCUCAGGACACUGCCCUGUGUAGGGUGUUGUCUUUCGGAGGGGACGUUAAACGGUCACUAAAGAUCCCAUGGCACAUAUCGUAAGAGUAGAGGUGUUAACCCUGGUGUCCUGGCUAAAUUCCCAAGCUGUCCCUCAUACCAUCAUGGUCACCUAAUCAUCCCCAGCUUACAAUUUGCUCAUUCAUCCUCCUCUCCCCUGUAACUAUUCCCCCUAAAUAGCAGCUUUAGCAGCUGUUGUCUAUUCUCUUGUGACAGAUGAUACAUAAAUAUACCAUACAUUAUUUGAGUAGCUGGCUGUAAAUGAGAAUGUGUUUUCAGUCAACUUACCUGGAAAAUAAAUGAUAGUGGAAUUAUUUAAAUAAAUAUUGUGUGUGUGCUGGCCAGCUACUCAGCCAGCUACUCAGCCAGCUACUCAGCCAGCUACUCAGCCAGCUACUCAGCCAGCUACUCAGCCAGCUACUCAGCCAGCUACUCAGCCAGCUACUCAGCCAGCUACUCAGCCAGCUACUCAGCCAGCUACUCAGCCAGCUACUCAGCCAGCUACUCAAAUAAUGUAUGGUAUAUUUAAGUAUCAUCUGUCACAUGAGAAUAGACAACAGCCUGGCUACUAUUUAGGGGUAGGGGAAUCUUUUUUUUCUUUUUAAAAAAUGUUCUCCCCAAUUUCAUGGUAUCCAAUUGUUAGUAGUUAACAUCUUGUACUAUUGUUUGUACAGAUGAACAUGGCACCUUCAGGAGUUUUGAAAAUUGCUCCCAUGGAUGAACCAGACUUGUAGAGGGCUACAAUUUUUUUUCCAAGGUCUUGGUUGAUUUCUUUUGAUUUUCCCAUGAUGUCAAGCAUAGAGGCACUGAGUUUGAAGGUAGGCCUUGAAAUACAUCCACAGGUACACCUCCAAUUGACUCAAAUAAUGUCAAUUAGCCUAUCAGAAGCUUCUAAAGAUAUGACAUAAUUUUCUGGAAUUUUUCAAGCUGUUUAAAGGCACAGUCAACUUAGUGUAUGUAAACUUAUGACCCACUGGAAUUGUGAUACAGUGAAUUAUAAGUGAAAUAAUCUGUCUGUAAACAAUUGUUGGAAAUGUACUUGUGUCAUGCACAAAGUAGAUGUCUUAACCGACUUCCCAAAACUAUAGUUUGUUCACAAGAAAUUUGUGGAGUGGUUGAAAAACGAGUUUUAAUGACUCCAACCUUUAGUGUAUGUAAACUUCUGACUUCAACUGUAAUUAUUGUGUGAUGUUUUUAACACUUAUUACUUCAUACGGUCUGAAUAUGAAUAUUGAUUCAGUACAUAGUAUUACAUUACAAUGCAGUACAUUAGCUCACAUUCAUCGAUGAGGUCCCUGAUGUGGUCUUGUUGUGUUGAUGAUGUACCGAUCUGUUUCUUGUCAUUUCUUCAGUUACUUUACGCUUCUUCUUUUUGUGUUUCAUUCUUGCCGGAUCAGAAUGACA
Molecule: long non-coding RNA, 4371 nt
Organism: Oncorhynchus tshawytscha (Chinook salmon)
Lineage: Eukaryota; Metazoa; Chordata; Actinopteri; Salmoniformes; Salmonidae
Source: Ensembl